This 253-nucleotide ribosomal RNA is filed under the name uncultured bacterium. RNAcentral describes it as "partial 16S ribosomal RNA". It matches the Rfam family "Bacterial small subunit ribosomal RNA", at positions 524 to 776 of the family's 1533-position model. The record is from RNAcentral.
GACAGAGGGUGCAAACGUUGUUCGGAAUUACUGGGCGUAAAGCGCGCGUAGGCAGCAGCGUGUGUCGGGCGUGAAAUCCCACGGCUCAACCGUGGAAGUGCACUCGAAACUGCGCAGCUAGAGUCUCGGAGAGGAAGGCGGAAUGCUUGGUGUAGAGGUGAAAUUCGUAGAUAUCAAGCGGAACACCGGUGGCGAAGGCGGCCUUCUGGACGAUGACUGACGCUGAGACGCGAAAGCGUGGGGAGCGAACAGG